This 72-nucleotide transfer RNA is filed under the name alpha proteobacterium HIMB59. It matches the Rfam family "tRNA". Rfam says of the family: Transfer RNA (tRNA) molecules are approximately 80 nucleotides in length. The record is from Rfam by way of RNAcentral. Lineage: Bacteria; Pseudomonadati; Pseudomonadota; Alphaproteobacteria; Candidatus Pelagibacterales; Candidatus Pelagibacteraceae.
GGUUCUGUGGUGAAACGGAUAUCACACUUGACUACGGAUCAAGAAUUCAGGGUUCGAAUCCUUGCAGAACCG